UGCGUAGGCGGAAUGAUAAGUUAGUGGUGAAAGCCCCCGGCUCAACCGGGGAACUGCCAUUAAUACUGUCAUUCUUGAGUAUAGUUGAAGUGGGUGGAAUGUAUCAUGUAGCGGUGAAAUGCUUAGAUAUGAUACAGAACACCGAUAGCGUAGGCAGCUUGCUAAACUAUAACUGACGCUCAGGCACGAAAGCGUGGGGAGCAAACAGGAUUAGAUACCCUGGUAGUC
This 228-nucleotide ribosomal RNA is filed under the name uncultured bacterium. Its description in RNAcentral is "partial 16S ribosomal RNA". It matches the Rfam family "Bacterial small subunit ribosomal RNA", at positions 568 to 795 of the family's 1533-position model. The record is from RNAcentral.